GGAGGGUGCAAGCGUUAAUCGCAAUUACUGGGCGUAAAGCGCACGCAGGCGGUUUGUUAAGUCAGAUGUGAAAUCCCCGGGCUCAACCUGGGAACUGCAUUUGAAACUGGCAUGCUUGUGUCUUGUAGAGGGGGGUAGAAUUCCAGGUGUAGCGGUGAAAUGCGUAGAGAUCUGGAGKAAUACCGGUGKCGAAGGCGGCCCCCUGGACAAAGACUGACGCUCAGGUGCGAAAGCGUGGGGAGCAAACAGGAUUAGWUACCCUGGUAGUCCACGCCGUAAACGAUGUCGACUUGGAGGUUGUUCCCUUGAGGAGUGGCUUCCGGAGCUAACGCGUUAAGUCGACCCCCUGGGGAGUACGGCCGCAAGGUUA
This 370-nucleotide ribosomal RNA is filed under the name uncultured bacterium. Its description in RNAcentral is "bacterial SSU rRNA". It matches the Rfam family "Bacterial small subunit ribosomal RNA", at positions 527 to 896 of the family's 1533-position model. The record is from RNAcentral.